Molecule: ribosomal RNA, 399 nt
Filed under: uncultured bacterium
Lineage: Bacteria
Description: bacterial SSU rRNA
Rfam family: Bacterial small subunit ribosomal RNA
Source: RNAcentral
GAGCGGGCGUAGCAAUACGUCAGCGGCAGACGGGUGAGUAACGCGUGGGAACGUACCUUUUGGUUCGGAACAACACAGGGAAACUUGUGCUAAUACCGGAUAAGCCCUUACGGGGAAAGAUUUAUCGCCGAAAGAUCGGCCCGCGUCUGAUUAGCUAGUUGGUGAGGUAACGGCUCACCAAGGCGACGAUCAGUAGCUGGUCUGAGAGGAUGAUCAGCCACAUUGGGACUGAGACACGGCCCAAACUCCUACGGGAGGCAGCAGUGGGGAAUAUUGGACAAUGGGCGCAAGCCUGAUCCAGCCAUGCCGCGUGAGUGAUGAAGGCCCUAGGGUUGUAAAGCUCUUUUGUGCGGGAAGAUAAUGACGGUACCGCAAGAAUAAGCCCCGGCUAACUUCGUG